Molecule: long non-coding RNA, 1181 nt
Filed under: Manacus vitellinus (golden-collared manakin)
Lineage: Eukaryota; Metazoa; Chordata; Aves; Passeriformes; Pipridae
Description: lncRNA (ENSMVIG00005011229.1)
Source: RNAcentral
GUAGGGUAAGUGGGGACACGGGGGAAGGGGCUGGGGGGCACUGGGGCCACACUGGGGUUCCUGGGGCUAUAGGGUCAGUGUGUCUAUAGGGCACUGGGGUCACUGCUGUGUCACACCCCUGUCACACCCGUAUCACACCGCUGUGUCACACCCCUGUUACACCCCGUCACACCGCUGUCACACGCUGUCACACUGCUCUAUCACACCCCUGUCACACCCCUGUGUCACAAUUGUGUCACACCGCUGUCACACCACUCUAUCAGACCCCUCUCACACCCCUGUCACACCCCUAUCACACCGCUCUAUCACUCUGCUGUCACACACUGUCACACCCCUGUCACACUGCUGUGUCACACCCCUGUGUCACUCCGCUGUCACUCAGCUAUCACACCCCUGUCACACCGCUCUAUCAAACCCCUGUCACACCCCUGUGUCACACCCCUGUCACUCCACUGUGUCUGUCACACCGCUCUGUUAUCACACCCCUGUCACACCCCUGUCACUCCGCUGUCACACUGCACUAUCACACCCCUAUCACACUGCUGUGUCUAUCACACUGCUCUAUCACACGCUAUCACAUCACUAUCACACCCCUUUGUCACUCCGCUGUCAGUCCACUAUCACACCGCUCUAUCACACCCCUGUGUCACACCCGUCACUCUGCUAUCACACCGCUGUCACACCGCUCUAUCACACCCCUAUCACACCGCUGUCUAUCACAUCCUGUCACACCCCUCUAUCACACCAUUCUAUCACACCCCUAUCACACCGCUCUAUCACACACUAUCCCUCCGUUCUAUCACUCCGUUCUAUCACACCCCUAUCACUCCACUCUAUCACACCACUAUCACACCCCUGUGUCACACCCCCGUGUCACUCCGCUGUGUCUAUCACACCCCCGUGUCACACCGCUCUAUCACCCCACUCUAUCACACCCCUGUAGCACCCCGCUCUAUCACACCGCUCUAUCAAUCACACCCCUCUAUCACACCCCUCUAUCACUCCCCUGUGUCCCUCCACUAUCACACCGCUGUCUCUAUCACACCGAUCUGUCACACCGCUCUCACACACUUGUAUCACACCCCUGUAUCACUCCGCUGUCAGACCCUGUCACUCCCCUGUAUCACUNNNNNNNNNNNNNNNNNNNNNNNNNNNNNNNNNNNNNNNNNNNNNNNNNNNNN